RNAcentral lists this ribosomal RNA (212 nucleotides) under uncultured bacterium. RNAcentral's name for it is "partial 16S ribosomal RNA". It matches the Rfam family "Bacterial small subunit ribosomal RNA", at positions 119 to 334 of the family's 1533-position model. The record is from RNAcentral.
CGGAACGUGCCCAGUCGUGGGGGAUAACUGCUCGAAAGAGCAGCUAAUACCGCAUACGACCUGAGGGUGAAAGCGGGGGAUCGCAAGACCUCGCGCGAUUGGAGCGGCCGAUAUCAGAUUAGGUAGUUGGUGAGGCAAAGGCUCACCAAGCCGACGAUCUGUAGCUGGUCUGAGAGGACGACCAGCCACACUGGGACUGAGACACGGCCCAG